AUGGCCAUUUCUUCUCCAAAUGGAGAGGAUCUGAACUCAUGUUGGGUGGGUCGCUCAAAGUUCAAGAUCACGAAAUUGGUAUGCUCAAUCUAUGACGAUAAUCCCUUCCGUUUGCUACGGCUUUUUUCUUUCCUUUGAAUUCUGCAGCUCUGAGGAAAGAUCAUCGGGCUGUAGAGGAGAGUGGCAGAAACUAUUUAUAGUUUUUGGGGUCCAGUCACAUCCACCAAAGAGUGUUGUGAAGAAAAUUAUGUACAUUCGACAUACAUUGCAGAACUUUAUAACACUAUAUCCAGCAUUCCCACAAUUAUUUUGGCUCUGAUUGGUCUUAUAAAUGCUUUAAGACAGCGAUUUGAGAAAAAGGUUCAGUAUCCUUCAUCUAUCAAACAUGACACUUCCCAUUGGGAGCAUGUUGUACCACGCCACACUGCAACGAGUCACAAUCCUUGUAUUACCACUCCUGGUCAUGUAGCAGCACCACACGGAAGGUUUCCUGGACAUGGCCACUCUCCAACAAUUCCAUCAAAUGGUGCACCCUAUUCCGUUAGUACAGUAGCUACGAUUCAUCCUACUGCAGCUUUCGCUGCUGAUGCAUAUGGCGUUUCUGGUGUUCCUGAACGUCCUAAGAAGGCACCAGUCCCUAACUGGCUUAGAGAGGAAAUAAAGAAAAAGGUCAUUGUGGCUCCUUCAGUAGAUCAUCCAAAAGUUGAACAAACACUUGUGCGUGAUGGCAUUGAUAAAUCAUAUGUGAAGGCUGAUGAUGAGACAGAUAGUAGAAGUAUUGAUUCGUCUAGAUCAGCUGAGGAUGAAGAGGACUAAGAGGUCGAAGUUGAUAGAACUGCAGAAAUCAACCAAGAAAUAAGAAAAAUUCUUACUGACCUUCUUUUGAAGGUAAGCAUUGUUUGAAAUAUAAACCUCUGUCUUAUUUAACACCUUUUUUAUUUUGGUGGAAAAAAACUCGUUAAAUAAGACGCAACACAACAAUUCAUGAUUAACAUCUGUAUACUGUCUGUAGCAGAAAAAGAUAUAUUACAGUUCUAAUUUUAUAGCCUCUUCCUCAAGUUACUGAUGAGUUGUUUGAUGAGAUUGCAACCAAAGUUCUUGGUGAAGACAAUUUGCCUGCUGAAGUAUUAGGUCAUAAUGUUGCCACUUCAAACUAUAAUGCAUCAACCUCUCCACCCUCUGCUCCGGUUGCUAAGGCAACUGCUAAAGUUUUAGUUACAGUUAAAGCAAAGGAAAUAGAGAAUGAUGGUGCCAAUGAAAAAUCUAAUUCAAGCUCUCAUGGAGAUGUUUUAGGUUCUGGAAAUUAUGGUUCUGAGGCCGAUGAUGAAAUUGAUAGUUCCACUGUGCCUGCUCCUGCAAAAGAUGCUGCGUAUAUGGUGAAUAAUAUAGUUAAAACCAACUCAUCGCUAUCCAGAAAUAGCAAUGGCGAUGCUAUUGAUCAAUUACAUGAUGCUAAGAUGACCGAAGAAUCUGAUCAUUCAGAUUCCAAGAUAGUUUAUAAAUAAUGGGCUUGAUGCAAUUGAAGAAGCCACACAAGAUUUAAUGGUUACAGCUCGAAAGACAUGUCAGGGGUGCCAAGAUUUGAAUUGCCUGGAAAAAAUGGUUUGGAAAAAGCAACAGAAGAUCAUCUAGGAAAGGAAAGCAGAAGAAAAUCAGAAAAAAAUGACCGACAUGACAAGAAUUCUUCCGAGACGGAUUUAAGGAGGUAAAUAGUAGUCACAAGUCCAAGACAGAUGAAAAAUGUUACGAGAUCAAACGAAGAAAGGAUGAAAGAAAUCAGAAAAAGGAACAAACAGAUUACAUCAUUGAGUCAAAUGAUAGAUCGAAAGGGCACAAUGUAAAGCAUGGGGAGAAGUCAAAGGAAUCAGAAUCAAGGAAAAGGUCCUCCCAUGUUGAUGUCAAGGAUGAUAGGAAGGGAGGAGAAAAACCUCAGAGGUCGUACCACUGAAGAUACUAUCCGAAAAAAGGAGCAUUCAAAGGAUAAGGGGGAGCAUAAAUCUAGGCGAAGAGAAGCUAGUGACCAUGACAGGCACAAAAGAAGGCGUUCUUCGUCAGUAAGCAGUAGAGGUAGAACCAGCAAGGAUCAUAGUCAUGCCAAUGAAUUAAGUGGUGAAGGCUCAGAUGGCUCGAAAAGGAUGCUGCGUUCAAGAAAACGUGACUUGUCACCAUCUCCGGUUAGGUCUAAAAGAAGGGUUGCCGUGGUUCUGGAGAGACUGAUUUUAGUGCAGUACCGCUGAGUGCUCCAAAAUGGUAUAAACGUCCUGCUGGUGUGUCUUUUGGCUUUGGAGGUAAACUUGUGUCAUUUCGUCCUAGUGCUUCAGGUUCUCCUGCUGGGGCUUCAAAGGAAAGAUUUUAGUACUUUGAGUAUAUUUCUUUGUCCAUGUUCUGUAACCUUUCAGUUGAACUCAUCUUAUUUAUAAUUUUCCAGGUUUAUGUGCAUAACAUGGUCACUGAAGACGAUCUGGUGAGUCGUUCAUCUGAAUUUGAAGCUGCAAUACAUAAUGGGGAAAAAACUUUAUUAAGGGUGUUAUGAGAUAAAAAGACUCAGGAGUCAGGAUCUGAGGAGGAAAGGGAAACAUGGGCCUUUUUGAAGGUUAUGUUUGAAGAUGAUGGAACUUCAAGAACAAAACUUCUCACACACCUUGGUUUUAACGCACCAAGUGAAACAAAAGACACGGUUAGUGAUGAUCUUUCUCAGGAAGUCAAUUCCAUUGGACUUGAGGACACAACUGUUAAUAACGUAGGGCAUGUGGCUACUAAUGAUAUCCACCGUAUCAGACUUCUUAGUGAGAUGGUCCUUGUAACCUUGACCAAUCACCCAUAAUUUGAUAUCAACGGCCCAACUAUCGUAAUUGGAACCAUUCAGUUUUUCUGUAGAGAGAGGCGAUGUAACAUAGUUGGUAUAAAUACUCUUGGACGCAUCAGAAGUGUUGGUAGCAGCACUUCGGUAUAAAUAUGGACUGUUUGUGAAAGAACACGUAUUUCGAUCGAAACUGAAAACUAAGAGCAGAUAUAGAACCAGCACAGAGAGGUGAGUCGGGCGCUGAAAAUGGAAACUGAAUGGCGGCCGAACGCCGUCACUCGCGGGUUGGACGGCGGCACGUGGAGAAGAUCGCCGGAGAUGAUGGUGUCACACGAGAGCACGUGUGAGGUCUUUUUCGGUAUAGGGCAGAUCGGAGGUUGCGAUUCAGAUGGUGGGGUUAGUUGCUGGAAACGUUACCGGAAUAGGAAACAUGCCGGAAUAAGUCACACCAGCAGAUAAAAGAAAAUUGGAGUUAACACAGUUUGUCGAAAAAAAAUAUCACCGGAGGACAGUGGGUCCAUCGCGUAAGCACGGUGUAGGGUUGCUCUCCUUUCUCUCACUGCCACCUGUCCUUUUCAGCCCAUGUGAGUUAGUGGUGAUAGUUACGGAAUAAUUCUCUGUGGUCCCAUCUUUCUUUUUUCUCUUGUACACCUAUCAAACCUUUCAAACCUAUCAUAUAGCUCUUUAUGAAGAAUUACCACUUUGUCCUCCAUUACUCUUAUUUCCAUUUUCCAUCUUGCUUACUAGUCUUUAUUAUAUUUCUUAAAUAAAUUCUCAACUUACUAGUCUCCAUAAUAUAUGAAACAAAGCAUAUAUUAUUACGUUAUACGUGAUUAUAAUUUUGGGGAUGUUACAAUCUACCCCCUUAAAAGAAUUUCGUUCUUGAAAUUCAAGGCUUUCCAUCUUAUCAUCGGGAUAAUUGCCUAUACUCACGUCUAAAUUCAUCGACUUCACUUCGUUACCUGUCAUGGUUUGUCGUUCAAGGGUUAUUAAUCCUGACUCUUUACUGCAUUAGCAGUCUUAAUGCAACCAUCAGACUCCCUACAUAUCCCUUUCAAGAUAUCGAACUUUCAACUUUGGUCCAUCAUUAUACCUCGUUGAUACGCGCUCGUCUUUUAAUAGUCUUAUGCGUUACUUCGUCUUAUUCCAAUCUCUUAAGGUACUUCAAUUCCUCAUAUCCAAUUCUUCGAAUCAUACCAAAACGCGCGUAUUAAACAUCUCUGUCGAAUCAUACCUAGCAAAAUCUUUGCUCUUCUACUUUUCUCUUCAUAAGCCUAACGGGUCCUCUUCCUCGGGUUGUCCACGGGUUAAAAUGUGUACAAAUGCGUACAUUACUCGCCAUAUGUUCGUUUAGACAUCUUACGGUCAUCCACGUCCAAUCCCUUGGAAUAAACCUUUUCUCUCUCAAAUAGUUGUAACCUUUCAGUUGAACUCAUCUUAUUUAUAAUUUUCCAGGUUUAUGUGCAUAACAUGGUCACUGAAGACGAUCUGGUGAGUCGUUCAUCUGAAUUUGAAGCUGCAAUACAUAAUGGGGAAAAAACUUUAUUAAGGGUGUUAUGAGAUAAAAAGACUCAGGAGUCAGGGUAAGUUCUAUCCACGAAGCGCAAUAUUGUUUUGUGCUGUUUGCGUUUGAUUGUCAGUCUAACAAUUAGGCUAUGGCUCUUUUUAUUGUUAUGGAAGAUCUGAGGAGGAAAGGGAAACAUGGGCCUUUUUGAAGGUUGUUUGAAGAUGAUGGAACUUCAAGAACAAAACUUCUCACACACCUUGGUUUUAACGCACCAAGUGAAACAAAAGACACGGUUAGUGAUGAUCUUUCUCAGGAAGUCAAUUCCAUUGGACUUGAGGACACAACUGUUAAUAACA
This is an RNA transcript of Trifolium pratense (red clover), 4666 nucleotides long. RefSeq lists it as uncharacterized. The transcript has 10 exons. The record is from RefSeq and is a predicted model, not a curated record. Lineage: Eukaryota; Viridiplantae; Streptophyta; Magnoliopsida; Fabales; Fabaceae.